GGAUACCCUGGGAAGUCACUCCCCCCAGGAUCUGUCCACAUGGCACACGGGAGCAUAAGUUCUGCCCCAUGAUGUACAGUCCCUUUCCACUCAAGGCUGGGCCUUGAGUCUGCGCCUGCAUAUUCCUAUGACUUCUCAGAAUCAUGUGGACAAUGACUGAGUAGACAAACCAUGCAGGAAACAAGG
Molecule: small nucleolar RNA, 186 nt
Filed under: Castor canadensis (American beaver)
Lineage: Eukaryota; Metazoa; Chordata; Mammalia; Rodentia; Castoridae
Description: Small nucleolar RNA SNORA73 family (ENSCCNG00000023059.1)
Rfam family: Small nucleolar RNA SNORA73 family
About the family: U17 (SNORA73A and SNORA73B) also known as E1 belongs to the H/ACA class of small nucleolar RNAs (snoRNAs). Vertebrate U17 is intron-encoded and ranges in length from 200-230 nucleotides, longer than most snoRNAs.
Source: Rfam by way of RNAcentral